AUUCUUUUAGUAUACCUUAGUAUAUUUGGCUUCCAACCAAAAGGCCUAGAACUCUAGAAAGAAUA
Molecule: transfer RNA, 65 nt
Filed under: Umalia orientalis
Lineage: Eukaryota; Metazoa; Arthropoda; Malacostraca; Decapoda; Raninidae
Description: tRNA-Gly
Source: RNAcentral